UGCAGUCGAGCGAAUGGAUUAAGAGCUUGCUCUUAUGAAGUUAGCGGCGGACGGGUGAGUAACACGUGGGUAACCUGCCCAUAAGACUGGGAUAACUCCGGGAAACCGGGGCUAAUACCGGAUAACAUUUUGCACUGCAUGGUGCGAAAUUGAAAGGCGGCUUCGGCUGUCACUUAUGGAUGGACCCGCGUCGCAUUAGCUAGUUGGUGAGGUAACGGCUCACCAAGGCAACGAUGCGUAGCCGACCUGAGAGGGUGAUCGGCCACACUGGGACUGAGACACGGCCCAGACUCCUACGGGAGGCAGCAGUAGGGAAUCUUCCGCAAUGGACGAAAGUCUGACGGAGCAACGCCGCGUGAGUGAUGAAGGCUUUCGGGUCGUAAAACUCUGUUGUUAGGGAAGAACAAGUGCUAGUUGAAUAAGCUGGCACCUUGACGGUACCUAACCAGAAAGCCACGGCUAACUACGUGCCAGCAGCCGCGGUAAUACGUAGGUGGCAAGCGUUAUCCGGAAUUAUUGGGCGUAAAGCGCGCGCAGGUGGUUUCUUAAGUCUGAUGUGAAAGCCCACGGCUCAACCGUGGAGGGUCAUUGGAAACUGGGAGACUUGAGUGCAGAAGAGGAAAGUGGAAUUCCAUGUGUAGCGGUGAAAUGCGUAGAGAUAUGGAGGAACACCAGUGGCGAAGGCGACUUUCUGGUCUGUAACUGACACUGAGGCGCGAAAGCGUGGGG
RNAcentral lists this ribosomal RNA (729 nucleotides) under Bacillus thuringiensis. RNAcentral describes it as "bacterial SSU rRNA". It matches the Rfam family "Bacterial small subunit ribosomal RNA", at positions 56 to 766 of the family's 1533-position model. The record is from RNAcentral. Lineage: Bacteria; Bacillati; Bacillota; Bacilli; Caryophanales; Bacillaceae.